Molecule: ribosomal RNA, 250 nt
Filed under: uncultured bacterium
Lineage: Bacteria
Description: partial 16S ribosomal RNA
Rfam family: Bacterial small subunit ribosomal RNA
Source: RNAcentral
UGGGGAAUAUUGGACAAUGGGCGCAAGCCUGAUCCAGCCAUGCCGCGUGAGUGAUGAAGGCCUUCGGGUUGUAAAGCUCUUUUGGCGGGGACGAUGAUGACGGUACCCGCAGAAUAAGCCCCGGCAAACUUCGUGCCAGCAGCCGCGGUAAGACGAAGGGGGCAAGCGUUGUUCGGAAUUACUGGGCGUAAAGGGCGCGUAGGCGGCCGCUUUAGUCAGGUGUGAAAGCCCUGGGCUCAACCUGGGAAUU